This is a long non-coding RNA of Trichoplusia ni (cabbage looper), 411 nucleotides long. RefSeq lists it as uncharacterized. Lineage: Eukaryota; Metazoa; Arthropoda; Insecta; Lepidoptera; Noctuidae. The transcript is spliced from 2 exons. The record is from RefSeq and is a predicted model, not a curated record.
CAGUACUCAAUCAAAUCGCUGGCGUGAUACAUACUAAUUUAAAAAGAUACAAAAAAACUUAAAGCUUAAAAAUAUCAAAAAACAUUGAUUUUCCACGACAGAUUUUAGGGUCCAUAUUGACCACUUUCGGUUUUUAUUAAAGUACUCUUUUACAAACCUUAACAAAGAUGUGUUGCGGACCGUGUGGAGGAUGCUGCGGCGGUGGAUGCUGCGGCGGAUGCUGUUGCCCUUGCAUCACGAUCUACACCUGCUGCACAAAGAUUUGCUAGUGGCACGAGUAGCGCCCAUUCGCACAGACAAGCCAUGGUGUCUGUGUUGAAUCUGGGCGCUCCGGCGCCUUCGAUGUUAUGUCUUCUUCGAAGUAUACUCCGUGCCGUUUUGUGGAAAAUAAACUACUAUAAAUAAGCGUAA